AAGAACCCUAAAACAGUCGAAUGUUUCCAACCCAUCCUUCUUUCAUCCCCACUAUCAAUUGCAAAAAUUCUUCUUUGAAUCCGCAUCAAUAAUACGAAUUCGGCCCGGCGAUUGAAGUUUCUUGCGAAGAAUAACGAAAGAAGAUCAAAUUGAUUCAGAUUGAAACCCUAGCCUCUCUCUUUCUUUGGCUUGAAGCUUCUACCAUACGCUUUCCUGAAACCCUAAAGUAUUAUACGCUUCUUCUUCUUCUACCUGCAUCUCAUUCUCUCUGAAUCGCUUGUGCUAUUUCAAAACCCUCAUCUCAGAUUCUUUAAUUACGGCCUUUCGUUUAAGAGAUGGGUUUGAUUAGAUAGAUAUUUGUUGUUUGUUUGGGUAUGGAGUUUGUGCGCCCACCUGCAUCAGCACGCACAUCUGCCACCAGAUCAGGUGUGGGGAUUCUUGAAGAUAACUAUUGUUGGCCAAUUGACUAUUAUAAUUUGAGAGCUGGAAAAUGGCAUACUAAAGAUACCUAAUGAUGGUUAUGAAAAUCUCAAAGAAAGGAGAAUAAUUCUUUUAGCACUUCCCUGUUAUGAAGCGGAGAGAAGUUGUUAACAAAUAUUUAAAAGGGAUUAAAACAACCGAUUAAGUUGGCCUUCACAUGCCUCACUAUGGUGAUGAUGCAGUAGGUGGCUCGAGUUUAGUAGAUGGUCAAAUAGAACUAAUGCUCCAUAGGAGGCUAUUAUUCGAUGACACCAAAGGUGUUGGUGAGGUGCUAAACGAGACAAUAUGUGUCGUCGAUGAUUGCAGGGGCUUCUGUCCGUUCACAAUCUGCACGGGUCGAGACGAUAGACACUUUUUUUGGUGGUUGGUACCUUCUAUCGGUCUUGGCAAGCCAAUCCCAACUAACAAGAGGUGUGCUGCUGGCAAGAUCUUCAGCAACCCGGAAGUCGAAAAGGAGGUCCCAUGGUACAGAAUUGAGCAAGAAUACACCGUGGAUGUCAACUGGCCUCUAGGUUGGCCUCAAGGUGGUUUCCCUGGUCCACAGGGGCCAUACUACUGUGGUAUUGGUACCGAUAAGGCUUUCGGUCAUGAUAUUGUUGAUGCACAUAAUAAGGCUUGCCUUUACGCUGGCAUCAACAUUAGUGGUAUCAAUGGCGAAGUUAUGUCUGGUCAGUGGGAGUUUCAAGUUGGACCUGCUGUGGGCAUAUCUGUAGGCGGAUGAACUGUGGGUGGCACGUUACAUUCUUGAGGUUUUAUUUUCAAAAGAUGAAGUUGUGUUCUUGCUUGCAUGAGUGAUUGGACUGCUCGGGCCAAUCGAUUACCAUAAGCUAGAAAGAGGUCACGAAACAAGCAAAUAUUUCACCGUUGAGUUCAAUCUUUAUCGCAUAAACGAGAAACAAACGAGAUGGAAUACAUAACCCCACAAGAAACAUCUUUGGAAGAACGUGUACAAGUUUCCUAUACAUUAUUACUCGAUUUUAUUGGUAACUUACUUGAGAUCAACCCACAAAGGCGGCCCACAGCCCGAGAAGCCUUGAAAGACCUCUCGCUAUUGUUUCCCUACGGUUGAACUUCGUUUUUUGUUAAUUUCUUUUUGUUUAUAAUCCGGGCCUAUGUUUUGUUGUAGAGAUGAGAGUAUCGCACAAUGUAAACUCCUACAAACUUCUACAUAGAUGACUGAUGACUCCCCAUUUUCAUAAAGAAAAUACCUUUCUUUU
Molecule: RNA transcript, 1697 nt
Organism: Helianthus annuus (common sunflower)
Lineage: Eukaryota; Viridiplantae; Streptophyta; Magnoliopsida; Asterales; Asteraceae
Gene name: glutamine synthetase
Exons: 11
Source: RefSeq, a predicted model, not a curated record